UCCCUAUGGGGUGCAGCAGUCGCGAAAAUUUUGCAAUACACGAAAGUGUGACAGAGCUAUCCCGAGUGUCAUCCGCUGAGGAAGGCUUUUACCCAGUAUAAAUAGCUGGGAGAAUAAGGAGAGGGCAAGUCUGGUGUCAGCCGCCGCGGUAAUACCAGCUCUCCGAGUAGUGUGGACGUUUAUUGGGCCUAAAGCAUCCGUAGCUUGCUAGAUAAGUCCCCUGUUAAAUCCACCGAUUCAAUCGUUGGAUUGCGGGGGAUACUGUUUGGCUAGGGGACGGGAGAGGUCGACGGUAUUUCCGGGGUAGGGGUGAAAUCCUAUAAUCCCGGGAGGACCACCAGUGGCGAAGGCUGUCGGCUAGAACGCGCCCGACGGUGAGGGAUGAAAGCUGGGGGAGCGAACCGGAUUAGAUACCCGGGUAGUCCCAGCUGUAAACGAUGCAGGCUAGGUGUUUGGGCGGCCACGAGCCGCCCUAGUGCCGCAGGGAAGCUGUUAAGCCUGCCGCCUGGGGAGUACGGCCGCAAGGCUGAAACUUAAAGGAAUUGGCGGGGGAGCACCACAAGGGGUGAAGCUUGCGGUUUAAUUGGAUUCAACGCCGGAA
RNAcentral lists this ribosomal RNA (601 nucleotides) under uncultured archaeon. Its description in RNAcentral is "bacterial SSU rRNA". It matches the Rfam family "Archaeal small subunit ribosomal RNA", at positions 319 to 923 of the family's 1478-position model. The record is from RNAcentral.